AUACAUAAUUGCAAACAAAACGACCCGCAUCCUCCGAUAAUAUCACGUUGUAGCUUUUCGCCUUCAACCUCUCUAAGAUGGUCGGAGCCGAGCAGGAUGUCUUGAAACAAUGAUUGACAACAUACAAUAACAGCUCAAGAAGUAAGAGAGGAAAUCAACCUGAGGCUGCCAUCCGAGUUCGUCUGGAUAACGAAAAGUAGCUUCGUUUACAGCUUGCCAUUCAACAGCAAACCUCGCCGAACCACUAUUGACUCCUAAGUGAAGCUGAACAAACAUGAACAGAUCCUCUCCAGGUUUGAGUAUUCAUUAUUAAUCAUAUCUCAGCUAUACACAAACGGAAAUUUUGCUACAUAGCAGUAUAUACAAAAAUUUUCCUUUG
This is a long non-coding RNA of Cucurbita moschata (crookneck pumpkin), 379 nucleotides long. RefSeq lists it as uncharacterized. Lineage: Eukaryota; Viridiplantae; Streptophyta; Magnoliopsida; Cucurbitales; Cucurbitaceae. The record is from RefSeq and is a predicted model, not a curated record. The transcript has 2 exons.